CUGGUGUCUAAACUGAUUUCUUUAUACUCUGUGAAAGACUUAUUCUAUUUUUCUGAACUAUGCUGAACUAUUGAACUAUUUUUUAUUUUAAUUUUUUACUUUUGUAGAGUUAGCCGGAGAGAGAGAGGAAGUGUUAGCUGACCCAGAGUUAGCUGUACUAUGUGUGUUUUUGAUAUAUGUUGAGUGUGCCAAGGAUGGAUUCCCAUGUUUUGUGAAACUGCGUGAGGAUAUGACUGGUUUUGACUGGACCUUUGGAAUAGGGAAAUGGUUAAAAGAUAUAGGACGCAAGGUCCUGGUUAUUAUUGUCAGAAU
This is a non-coding RNA of Pelobates cultripes (western spadefoot toad), 312 nucleotides long. The record is from the annotation of a GenBank genome assembly. Lineage: Eukaryota; Metazoa; Chordata; Amphibia; Anura; Pelobatidae.